AUCCACCGUUAGAUUGAGUGGGUUAAUCCAACGGUCCAAGAACGACUAGGGAUAUAUGGGCUGAAUAUUGGGCUCGGUUUAAGUAGGCCUUCUAGGUAUAUUAAUAAUGGACCAUCUAUUGAUUCCAUAUUGGGUCUUUUUCAUCACUGCCUAUUAGUUGGACUGAUCAAAUGGCAUCACAGCCCAACAGAUCUCCACCUUGAUGCCAGUGAUCAUACAAGAAGCCUAAUAAAUGCAAAACACAAUUUAAAUGUCCUUCUCAAGAAGACAGCUUCCCAGUAUUCUCAACAAGCAUCAACCUUAGCACCUGUACAGAACAAAACACUUAACCAGCAUCAAUGUUCAAAAUUUGUAAACAAGACUUAAACUUGUUUAAAGGUAUUACCUUAGUACCUACAUCAGCUGGAUUAAACUGGAUUGCAAUUUUCUCAAGUAAAAUGAGUUCUUUAGAAACAACAUCUCUAAUAAAAUGCAACUUAACAUCAAUGUGUUUGGUUCUUUCAUGAAAGACAGGGUUUUUACAUAGGUGAAUUGCACUUUGACUAUCUGAAUAUAAAACAACAGGGUUACUCAAUUCAUUUAUUUCAGAUAACACGCUCUUAAGCCAUAAGUCUUCUUUUAUUGCUUCAGUUGCAGCAACAUACUCAGCUUCAGUAGUAGAUAAAGCAACAAUAGGUUGAAGUUGAGAUUUCCAACUAAUACAUGUAUUACACAAAGUAAGCAUAUAAGAAGUAGUAGAUUUUCUAUUGUCUCUAUCUCCGGCAAAAUCUGAAUCUACAAAACCCUUAAGUACAACACCUUCAUUACAGGCACUAAAAAUCAAACCAAUAUGUGAAGAUCCUUUCAAGUAUCUCAACAGCCAUUUUAGAGCAACCCAAUGGUCAGGUCCUGGAUUGGCCAUAAAUCUACUAAGUGUGCUAAUGGAAUGAGCUACAUCAGGCCUAGUACAUACCAUAGUUUACAUAACAGAGCCUACGGCAUUAGUAUAGGGUACAUUUUCCAUUUGUCUAAUGUCAGAUUCAUCUACAGGACAUUGCUCCUUACUAAGUUUAAAAUGGUUCGCCAAUGGAAGUGAAACAGAUUUAGAGUUAUGCAUGGCAAACUUAAUCAACAUUUUUUCAAUAUAUGCAGUUUGCUUCAAGUACAGUAACCUAUGGUACCUUUUCCUAGUGAUUACCAUUCCUAGAAUUCUCUUUGUAUGUCCUAGGUCUUUCAUUUCAAAUUCAGCACUUAAAGACCGUUUUAUCUGAUUAAUAACAUGCAUAUUCUGACCAAUCAGCAACAUAUCAUCCACAUAAAGAAGUAUAAAAGCAACAAUAGCAUUUUCAUCAUUUCUUUUAAAAUAAAGACAAUGAUCAUAUUCACUUCUUAUGAAACCAAUAGUAGAUACAAAAUUAUCAAACCUUUUGUACCAUUGUCGUGGAGAUUGCUUUAAAUUGUAUAAUGAUCCUUUUAACAAACACACAUGAUCAGAAUUAGUUUCAUCAAUAAAACCAGGUGGUCCCUCAUAUAAAUCACUUCAUCAAGGUCACCAUGCAAGAAAGCAGUUUUCACGUCCAUUUGUUCAAAUUCAAGAUCACAAUAAGCAACAAGAGCAAGCAUAACUCUAAUUGUUGUGUACUUUAUCACAGGUGAAAAUAUCUCAUUAUAGUCUAUGCCCUCUUUUUGCGUAAAUCCUCUCGCUACAAGUCUAGCCUUAAAUUUUAUGGGCAUCUUUUCAGUAUUUCCCUCCUUAACACUAAAGAUCCACUUGCAAUCAACAUGGGUCUUACCUGCUAGUUUAGGAACUAAAGUACAAGUCUCAUUUUUCAUUAAGGAGUCCAUAUCAUCUAUCAUAGCAGCAUGCCAUAUCUCAGACUGCUUGCUGCUCAUUGCCUCUUUAUAAGAUUUUGGUUCUUUAAACACUAAGUCUUGAUAGGACUAAACAGCAAGUGAAAGGUAAUUCACAUACCUAACAGGCUCUCUAACUUCUCUCCUAGUCCUAUCUCUAGCUAAUUGGUAAUCUCCCAAUUCAUCAGGCUGACUUUCCAGAUUUUCUUGAACAUUUUCCUCUUCAUUUUCUAGAGGACCAGAAGCUAUUUCAGCUUCUUCAUCCACCUGUUCAUCACUAACAGGUUCAGUAGGUAAGCCAAGCUCCACCUGCAGCUUGGUAUUAUCACCCCUUUCAUCACCAGAUAGCCCUUUUGGCUUCUUAUUUUCUAAACAAGGCAUUUUUGACUCAUCAAAGGUCAUAUCUCUGCUGGUGAUGAUUUUAAAACCUUUUACCUCUUUACUCCAAAGCUUAUAACCUUUAACCCCAUCGGGAUAUCCCAAGAAAACACAUUUCUGGGCCCUAGGUUCAAGUUUCCUAUACUCUGAUGGGAAUAGGCUGCACAACCAAAAAUUCUUAAAUGAGAAUAAUCAGGAACAUGUCCUGUCCAUAGCUCUUCUGGGGUUUUAUCACCUAGAGCACUUGAGGGGGUCCUAUUAAUAAUAUAUGAAGCUGUCAUUACAGCUUCACCCCAUAACACCUUAGGGACACUUGAGCCUAUCAACAUGCACCUAACCUUAUCUAGCAAGGUUCUAUUCAUCCUCUCAGCCACUCCAUUCUGCUGAGGCGUAUAAAGUACUGUUUUAUGCCUUUUACCAGAUUCUUUGCACAACUGAUCAAAUUCAGCAUUGUAAAACUCAAGGCCAUUAUUCGUCCUAAGGAUCUUAAUUUUCUUCCCAAUCUCAUUUUCAACUAGAAUCUUCCAAGUUCUGAAUUUCUCAAAUGUUUCAGAUUUAUGUUUCAACAAAUAAACCCAAACCUUCCUAAAAUAGUCAUCAAUCAAGGACAAGAAAUAUCUAUUUCCUCCUUGAGUGAUAAUGGAUGAAGGUCCCCACAAAUCAACAUGUAUAUACUCAAGGGUAGAAGUGGUUCUAUGUUUUCCUGUGUUAAAAUGCAGUCUAUGCUGCUUUCCUAAAGUGCAGUUUUCACAAAAAGAUACCUUAGAUAUAGAAUCCUUCCCAAACACAUCUUUCUUAUAAAGGAUGUGUAGACCCUUUUCACCUACAUGGGCCAAUCUCUUGUGCCACUUUAAGGUAGCAUCAGCUUCUACACUAGAAGACUCACCUAUAUGAUCAAACAUUGUACUAGCUUUGGUCACAUAAAUCCCAUUUCUUUUAACACCUUUAAAAAUAACAAGUGAUCCUUUUAUCACUUUCAAGAAACCAUCUCCUAUUUUUCCUUGCAAUCCUAUAUCAUCUAGAUUUCCCAUGGAAAUCAGAUUCCUAUUUAAUUCAGGAACAUACCUCAUCCUUUCAAGAGUGUAAAUGUAUCCAUUAUCGAAUUUCAAAGUGACAUUCCCAACUCCCUCAACUCUGCAGGCUACAUUAUUGCCCAUAACCACUUCUCCUCCAUCAAUUUUCUUAAAAUUGUCUAAAUAUGCCUUCUUAAAGGUCAUAUGGAAGGUACAACCAGAAUCCAAAAUCCAUUCUUGGUUCUGGUUCUCAUCAACAACAUUUGCAGAGCUAGGUAAAUUUUCAGUCACGUCAUAUACAUCAACUAUGGCAGAACCUUCAGAUUCUACCACAUUACCUUCAUCAACACCCUUAAGUUUCUGUUCAUUUUUCUUCUUAUAACAGUCUUUAAUAAAAUGUCCAGAUUUCCCACACCCAUAACACUUUUUAGUCCUAGUCCUUGACUUAGACCUGCCUCUACUUUUAAACUUUCUCCUACUGUUGUUUCCCUGAUUAUUAUUGUUUUCUUGAGUACCACUAGACCUACUUAAAGUCCUCCCUCUAGCAAACAAGUUUUCAUGGCCACUAUUACCUCUCUCAGACUUAAGUUCAAGUUCCUUACUCCUCAAAGAGUCUAUGACAAUAUCAGGUGUCAGAGUAUCUCUACCAUACUUAAUGGCGGCUUUAACCUCUUUGUAGGUGAUAUGAUUCAGGAGUCGAGCCCGAUGAAGGCAAGUGUGAGACGAGACCCGUUGAUAGUCGAUGGCGGAUCAAUGACGCGAUCAAGGACAAAGCAAGUGAAACAAGCGAUGGGAUUACUCGUUCAAGAAACCAUUGAUGGAACCAUGUUUGGAACUCAAAAUGGAGCAACUUUCAUGUUCGGGUCGAAGGCCGAAUCAACUUGGAUCAAUUUAUUAUCAAGCGACGAAAGCGAAAACUGAAAAGAAGUCCAUGCGGCCGCACAGGCAAAAUACCAUGCGGCCUCACACAUGCAUACCGAAAGCCAAAAGACUAAUUCCUGUUGAACCAUGCGACGGCAUGGAUUUACACCGUGCGGCCGCACAAGCCAAAAAAAUUGGCGAAUUUUCUAAUUUUGGCCAAAUUUCCUAGUUUCGAUAGAAUUCUUAUGAAAUCAAAUUAUUACCAUAAUUUGAUGGUUUUGGACAUUUUUAUUCAUUAGUAUAAAUAGGAGAAUAUUUUUUUAUUGUAACAACUUUGAAGUUUUGACUUUUGAAUUAAUAUUAUAGAGAGAGAAAUUUAUUCUUUCAAUUUAUUGUUCUUCUUGAACAAUUUUGGAACUUAUCAAGAUUCAACUUCUUGUGGCGUUCUAAUCAAUCGGAUUGUGGGUUCUUUUAAUUGUAAUUCAAGGGGUUUUAGGUUCUUCGCUAAUCUAGGGUUUCUUGGUUUAAUUCUUGGGGUUCAAGAUCCAAAAUCGGGUUAGUAUUGGCGUUCUUGGGUUCCGCAUCAAUCUCGUUGUGGGUUUCGUAGUUUCCAUUGCUACGGGGUUCGCAUCAGUAGGCUUCAGGUAUAGCAUUAAGUAGUACUACAGCCUUAUACUCAUCAGAAACUUUCUCACCUGUACUAAUAAUGUCUUGAACUAACUUAUUAAAAAUGUCUAAGCUAUCUUCUAAGUCUCUAGUUGGAUCUAUCCUAAAGAUGAAAAAUUUCUCUAAUAGAAACAACUUAUUAUGCAAAGACUUAGGUAGGUAAAGUUUCUCUAAUUCAUCCCAUAGGGCCUUAGCAACAUCACGUUUGCCUGCUUUUCUUAAAACUUGAUCAGACAAAUGCAAAAUAAUGGAGGUAUAAGCAAGUUCAUCAGAUUCUUCCUUUUGAUCAUCUGUAAUGGUAUCAGGAAAUUCAUCUGUUAUUGCUUUAGAAACUUUUUGCUGAACUAAAACACCUCGUAUUUUUUGUUGCCAAAUGGGAAAAUCCCCUUUUCCAUCAAAAACACCAAGUUCAAAAGAUUUUUGUCAUGUUUUAUUGUGAAAAACUAACACACAGUGUUUCCCAAAAAAUUAAAACAAGACAGAUAAUCAACUUUUGAAAAAUCUGUGGAAUUUGAUCUUCACAAAAAAUUUAUGUUUUAGGUCACAAAAAAAUAAAAAAAUAUGCAGUCAAAUGAAUGAGCCACAAUUAUUUUAAUCACAAAUAAUUUCAAUCAAUAACAGGAUCAGUAGAUAUUUUAAUGUAAACACCACAAGAACCAGAAAAUGCAACAAUGCAGGCAAGAACCAUAUCUCAGUAUUAAAAAAUCAAUAUCUGCAGGACCUAGGGUUGAUCAAAUUCACCAGGAUUCCGUGAGAAUCAAGUUCUCAGGUCAAGGCUCAAUUUGAAUCAUCCAAACUUUAAUGAUCACAGGCAAAUAUAACGAGAUAUCACUAACUAAUGUAACAAGUUACAAUAUACAGCAAUUAAACAUAUCAACAUAGAGGCAUAUACUCAUAAAUGCAGAAUUAAGAGUGUGUACAGUCGUGUAGGGUUCAAGAAGUGCAAACCGAGGGUGGUUAAACAGUUAACCACUAGUUGAAAUCAGAAACAGGUUAUCGCAGAAGGGGAUAAGUGCUCUGCAGGUCACCAAAUUUCAAGUCAAGCCCUUACAGCUUCGAGUCCUUCCAAUCAAUUUCGAAGUUAGGGUUCCAGCUCAAGAACGAAUCCACAGGAACUUGUUUUUAAGGUUCUUUCACAGAUCAAGGCGAGGAGUCACAGAAUUCCCUCGCAUUUCAUAGUCCAGUAAUGAAUCAGCUCCACAGACCACUAGGUCGACUCAAAUCAAAACCUAGGGUUUCGCGAUCUACAGUCGAACACCUGGAAAUUAAUUUUCCAGUGUUCAAACCUUCAAUCAAAGACUCAAGAACGGACAUACAAGGCUGAUAUACAAGGCUCUGAUACCACUAUUAAUCCAAGAUAUGUUCAAUUUAUAUAUCAAAACUAUACACAGCAGAUUUACAGAAAACCUAAACCACUGGAUCAAGGUUUAGAUCUAUAUUUAGGUUCAGACCAUACGCCCUUUCGAACCAUCACAGAGGCACCUAACUCAGCAACACGAGCCCUCACAACCCCAAACACCAAGUCGCUUCACUGGAACCAAAAAUGGACAGAACACUUCCAACAGUUUACUCACACAAAGGAGACUAACACAAGGACACGAUUAUCACAAAGAUAAUCAACAGAAAUUCUCACAUAGAAAAGAAGAAAAGGUCAUAAAGACGAAGCCAUUGAAGGUUCCAGAAUACACAGAGAAAAAGAGAACAGAAAAAUGACCAUCCGAAUCCCAAACAAAGCAUAAGGGUCGAAUAUAUAGUAAAACCCAUCCACCGUUAGAUUGAGUGGGUUAAUCCAACGGUCCAAGAACGACUAGGGAUAUAUGGGCUGAAUAUUGGGCUCGGUUUAAGUAGGCCUUCUAGGUAUAUUAAUAAUGGACCAUCUAUUGAUUCCAUAUUGGGCCUUUUUCAUCACUGCCUAUUAGUUGGACUGAUCAAAUGGCAUCACAGCCCAUCAUGUAUGUUAGCGUAGUAGACGGGAAUAGGAGCAAGUAGUAGUGGGUUGUUUGCGGUUAAUCUAUACUGGCUAGUGUUUAGUUGAUUUUGAGAAACUCUCGGGUAGUUUUGAGAGAGUGGGCUAUUGAGAUGAAGACGAUGACUCUUGGAAGUUGUGUUUGGCAAUUUGUAUAUGGUGGCGGUUCUGGUGUUUGAAGAUGGGGUGAUGUUGGGAGCUAAUUUUUUUAUUUUUUAUUUUUUACCCAAAAGAUGCUGUCAGCGGUUGUUGUUGGAGGUUGUUUUAGCAAUUACAGUUUCAACAUUCUUUAACAGCAAAAUCCAGGUUUUAGCUCUGAUAAUAAAAUAUGAUUUAUCAAUUGAAAUAUUUAACAGAGAAAGAGAAAAGAAAUCUAAGAAAAAGAACAAUAGAAGAAGAAAGGAAAGAAGAAGAGAAGCAAGAAAGAGGGUAGAACAGGAGAAAAGCUGGGGAGAAGACCGAAGGAGAAGAGAUUUAGGUAGGAAGACGGGAGAAAACUUGUUAACCAAGCAUUUCAUUCAUAUUCAUCAAUCAUCACCUCCUUUGAAAUUACAUUACCAAUCUAUGAAAAUAGAGAAAAGGAACACCACAUAAAUCCUCCAUUUAAAAAUCACAUUUCAAAACUAAAAAACUUAUAAAAAUCUUUCAAAAAUAAGAUGAUAAUUAAAUUUAUUAAAUAUUUAAUUAUAAUAUAGGAUAAUUAAUCUACUUAUCCAACCCCACCCCAACCCAUCCACCCAUCAUAUCAAACCUUUCUCUUUCUCUCUCCAUCCCACCUCAUUUCCAACAACGACUCCGACAGCUUCUCCGGCGACUUUCGACGACGGCUCCGGCAACUUCUCCGACGAUAGCUCCGGUGACAUCCCACGAAGGCUCCAGCACAAUUCUGACGACUUAUCUCGUUUCGACAAACAUUCCGACGACCUCUCCGACCGUUCCAGGGACUUCCGAUGACCACUCACCUUUCCGCAGACUACCUUUUUUCUUCUCUUCUUUCUUGGCAAUGACUUGUGACCAAUUGCAUUAGAUCUAUAACAUGUGCACAUUGUGAUCUGUGAUAAGUUCUAUUAAAUCUGUGAGAUAAUCAGAUAGGAUGAAUAUGCAUAUGAUCAAUUUCAAAAGUAAGUAAUAAAGUUUGAAAUUUCACAAAUCAAAUAUUAUUAAAAUUUUAGUUAUGAAAUAAUUA
RNAcentral lists this long non-coding RNA (7900 nucleotides) under Olea europaea subsp. europaea. Lineage: Eukaryota; Viridiplantae; Streptophyta; Magnoliopsida; Lamiales; Oleaceae. The record is from RNAcentral.